RNAcentral lists this ribosomal RNA (252 nucleotides) under uncultured bacterium. RNAcentral's name for it is "partial 16S ribosomal RNA". It matches the Rfam family "Bacterial small subunit ribosomal RNA", at positions 525 to 776 of the family's 1533-position model. The record is from RNAcentral.
ACAGAGGGUGCUAGCGUUAAUCGGAUUUACUGGGCGUAAAGCGUGCGUAGGCGGUUUGAUAAGUCGAUUGUGAAAGCCCCGGGCUCAACCUGGGAAUUGCAGUCGAUACUGUCAGACUAGAAAACGGUAGAGGGAGGCGGAACUCCAGGUGUAGCGGUGAAAUGCGUAGAUAUCUGGAAGAACACCGAUGGCGAAGGCAACCUCCUGGGCCUGUUUUGACGCUGAGGCACGAAAGCGUGGGUAGCAAACAGG